UGAAAGUUUUAUUCUUGCUUGAGUGUUGAUUUUUAUUUUGUUUUAUUAUGUAAGUUUUAGUGUGGGUUAGGUUAAAUUCUUAAAGGAUAAAUCUGUUUGGAUUAAAGAUAGCUUGACUGCAGUGGUUGAUAUUAUAAUUUAAAGGGAUUUAGAGUUAGCAAUGUAAUUAGUGUCGGCAAAAUUCGUGCCAGCUGCCGCGGUUAUACGAGGGGCAUAAAUCAACAUGGGUUGAUAGGUAGUUGAGUGUAGGGUAAAGGGAUUAUAAGUUGGGUUUUUAGGGUGAAAUCUAAGAAUACAGUUGAGUUCUAGAUCAGGUAGGCGGAGGCUAUGAAAUUAUUUAGAAGACUAGGAUUAGAUACCCUAUUAUUAUUAAUGUAAAGUGAAGAUGUCGGGGUAGUAGUAGUUAGGUUCUUGAAACUCAAAGAAUUUGGCGGUAUUUUAGUCUUUUCAGAGGAAUUUGUCCCGUGAUCGAUAUUCCACGUUUAUCUGACUUAGUUUUGUUAACAGUUUGUAUACCGCCGUCGUCAGAAUGUCCUAAAAGGGGAAAAAUUUUCUUGGAAUUUGAUUGAAUUGGAUGUCAGGUCAAGGUGCAGCUUAUGAUUAAGUGGAGAUGAAUUACAAUAAAUAGAUUUAUAAUGGAUAUAAAGUUGAAAGAGUUUAUUGAAAGUGGAUUUGAUGGUAAUGAUUAAUAUUAAGAAGUUGUGAUUAGGGCUCUAAAGUAUGCACACAUCGCCCGUCGCUCUCGGUUUAAGGCGAGAUAAGUCGUAACAUAGUAGAUGUACUGGAAAGUGUAUCUGGGAUGAA
This 804-nucleotide non-coding RNA is filed under the name Neoperlops gressitti. RNAcentral's name for it is "12S ribosomal RNA". The stretch from base 392 to 797 matches the Rfam family "Bacterial small subunit ribosomal RNA", at positions 875 to 1520 of the family's 1533-position model. The record is from RNAcentral. Lineage: Eukaryota; Metazoa; Arthropoda; Insecta; Plecoptera; Perlidae.